This 253-nucleotide ribosomal RNA is filed under the name uncultured bacterium. Its description in RNAcentral is "partial 16S ribosomal RNA". It matches the Rfam family "Bacterial small subunit ribosomal RNA", at positions 524 to 776 of the family's 1533-position model. The record is from RNAcentral.
UACGGGGGGGGCAAGCGUUGUUCGGAAUUACUGGGCGUAAAGGGCUCGUAGGUGGUCAACUAAGUCGGACGUGAAAUCCCUCAGCUUAACUGGGGAACUGCGUCUGAUACUGGAUGGCUCGAGUGUGGGAGAGGAAUGCGGAAUUCCAGGUGUAGCGGUGAAAUGCGUAGAUAUCUGGAGGAACACCGGUGGCGAAGGCGGCAUUCUGGACCAUAACUGACACUGAGAGACGAAAGCCAGGGGAGCAAACGGG